AGCCUGCGCCGAAGCCGGGGCCUGAGCCCAGGCCGCGCAGGCCGAGAACUCGUCGAGCUGCGUGUGCGGCCGGUGCUCAGCCUGCCGGGUCCCGGCCCCGCGCUCCCGCGCGCUUUGGA
This 119-nucleotide microRNA precursor is filed under the name Canis lupus familiaris (dog). RNAcentral's name for it is "microRNA cfa-mir-1199 precursor". The stretch from base 5 to 104 matches the Rfam family "mir-1199 microRNA precursor family". Lineage: Eukaryota; Metazoa; Chordata; Mammalia; Carnivora; Canidae. The record is from miRBase by way of RNAcentral.